RNAcentral lists this ribosomal RNA (586 nucleotides) under Leifsonia aquatica. RNAcentral describes it as "bacterial SSU rRNA". It matches the Rfam family "Bacterial small subunit ribosomal RNA", at positions 31 to 627 of the family's 1533-position model. The record is from RNAcentral. Lineage: Bacteria; Bacillati; Actinomycetota; Actinomycetes; Micrococcales; Microbacteriaceae.
GAACGCUGGCGGCGUGCUUAACACAUGCAAGUCGGACGAUGAAACAGGAGCUUGCUCUUGGGGAUUAGUGGCGAACGGGUGAGUAACACGUGAGUAACCUGCCCUUGACUCUGGGAUAACCUCCGGAAACGGAAGCUAAUACCGGAUACGAACUGCGAAGGGCAUCUUCAGCAGUUGGAAAGAACUUCGGUCAAGGAUGGACUCGCGGCCUAUCAGGUAGUUGGUGAGGUAACGGCCCACCAAGCCUACGACGGGUAGCCGGCCUGAGAGGGUGACCGGCCACACUGGGACUGAGACACGGUCCAGACUCCUACGGGAGGCAGCAGUGGGGAAUAUUGCACAAUGGGCGCAAGCCUGAUGCAGCAACGCCGCGUGAGGGAUGACGGCCUUCGGGUUGUAAACCUCUUUUAGUAGGGAAGAAGCGAAAGUGACGGUACCUGCAGAAAAAGCACCGGCUAACUACGUGCCAGCAGCCGCGGUAAUACGUAGGGUGCGAGCGUUGUCCGGAAUUAUUGGGCGUAAAGAGCUCGUAGGCGGUCUGUCGCGUCUGCUGUGAAAACCCGAGGCUCAACCUCGGGCCUGCAAG